RNAcentral lists this long non-coding RNA (215 nucleotides) under Malus domestica (apple). RNAcentral's name for it is "long non-coding RNA (MDOM_LNC010326)". The record is from RNAcentral. Lineage: Eukaryota; Viridiplantae; Streptophyta; Magnoliopsida; Rosales; Rosaceae.
CGUAAUAUGGUGUACGUAGUAGUACUAUCAGCCAGACAACUAACUUCCCCACCAGACAUACCUAGAAAUAGUUUGAUUGAAUUAGUCACAUGCAUAAAUAUAAUUCCAUUCAUUCAAUUAAUCAAUUCAAGAAAUAAUAUCCAUAAAAUAAUUAUCCAUAAUUCAAAACAAACCAAAACCAAAUAAAUUGUUCCAAAUACUUCAAAAAAUUGUCC